UGAACGCUAGCGGCAGGCCUAACACAUGCAAGUCGAGGGGCAGCAGGGCGUAGCAAUACGCUGCUGGCGACCGGCGCACGGGUGCGUAACGCGUAUGCAACCUACCCAGUAACAGGGGGGAUAACGGAGUGAAAAUUCCACUAAUACCCCGUAUUGCCACAUAGUCGCAUGGCUUAGUGGCGAAAGCCUUCGGGUGGUUAUGGAUGGGCAUGCGUGGCAUUAGGUAGUUGGCGGGGCAACGGCCCACCAAGCCCACGAUGCCUAGGGGAGCUGAGAGGCUAAUCCCCCACACUGGUACUGAGACACGGACCAGACUCCUACGGGAGGCAGCAGUGAGGAAUAUUGGUCAAUGGAGGGAACUCUGAACCAGCCAUGCCGCGUGAGGGAGGAAGGCCCUAUGGGUUGUAAACCUCUUUUGCCCCGGGGCAAUAAGGCUCAUGCGUGAGCCGAUGAGAGUACGGGGCGAAUAAGCAUCGGCUAACUCCGUGCCAGCCGCUGC
RNAcentral lists this ribosomal RNA (499 nucleotides) under uncultured bacterium. RNAcentral's name for it is "bacterial SSU rRNA". It matches the Rfam family "Bacterial small subunit ribosomal RNA", at positions 30 to 518 of the family's 1533-position model. The record is from RNAcentral.